RNAcentral lists this ribosomal RNA (300 nucleotides) under uncultured Natrialba sp. Its description in RNAcentral is "bacterial SSU rRNA". It matches the Rfam family "Bacterial small subunit ribosomal RNA", at positions 496 to 795 of the family's 1533-position model. The record is from RNAcentral. Lineage: Archaea; Methanobacteriati; Methanobacteriota; Halobacteria; Halobacteriales; Natrialbaceae.
GCUAACGGGGUGGCAGGGGCGGCGGUAAUACAGGGGGGGCAAGGGUUGUUGGGAAUUACUGGGCGUAAAGGGCGCGGAGGCGGCCUGUUAAGUCGGACGUGAAAUCCCCGGGCUCAACCCGGGAACUGCGUCGGAUACUGGCAGGCUUGAAUCCGGGAGAGGGAUGUGGAAUUCCAGGUGUAGCGGUGAAAUGCGUAGAUAUCUGGAGGAACACCGGUGGCGAAGGCGGCAUCCUGGACCGGUAUUGACGCUGAGGCGCGAAAGCCAGGGGAGCAAACGGGAUUAGAUACCCCAGUAGUC